UCACUACUCCCUCCGUCCGUAAAAGAUUGCCCCUCAAAUGGAUGUAUCUAGCACUAAUUGGUGCUAGAUACAUCCAUUUCAGGGACAAACUUUUUCGGACGGAGUGAGUACAAU
Triticum urartu is the source of this 114-nucleotide non-coding RNA. NCBI's taxonomy places the organism in Eukaryota, Viridiplantae, Streptophyta, Magnoliopsida, Poales, Poaceae. The record is from Rfam.